This 230-nucleotide ribosomal RNA is filed under the name uncultured bacterium. Its description in RNAcentral is "partial 16S ribosomal RNA". It matches the Rfam family "Bacterial small subunit ribosomal RNA", at positions 558 to 787 of the family's 1533-position model. The record is from RNAcentral.
GCGUAAAGCGUGCGCAGGCGGUUAUACAAGACAGGCGUGAAAUCCCCGGGCUUAACCUGGGAAUGGCGCCUGUGACUGUAUAGCUAGAGUGUGUCAGAGGGGGGUAGAAUUCCACGUGUAGCAGUGAAAUGCGUAGAUAUGUGGAGGAAUACCAAUGGCGAAGGCAGCCCCCUGGGAUAACACUGACGCUCAUGCACGAAAGCGUGGGGAGCAAACAGGAUUAGAUACCC